This 24-nucleotide non-coding RNA is filed under the name Mus musculus (house mouse). Lineage: Eukaryota; Metazoa; Chordata; Mammalia; Rodentia; Muridae. The record is from RNAcentral.
UAGCGCAAAUGAUGGGCAGGCUAA